ACGAAGGAAGCAGGGGCUGGGGCUUGGAGUUCAUUGGAUUGGCUGAUCAGGCUCUUCCCUAACAGCCAAGAAGGAAACGGAUUACCUGUGGCUGUGACUAAGAAGCCCAUGGCCAACAGGACCUGCAUCGUAUUCUGCCAAGAAGUAUAAGAAUAGUUCCAGCUUUCAUGGUGGUUUUACUCCAGUUUGGAAACAGAUUGGGAGCUUGGAGUCUGAAAUACACAUCUUGGCAGUUGACAAAUACUUUGAAAGGAAAAUUUGAUGAAUUUUCCCU
Molecule: long non-coding RNA, 274 nt
Filed under: Mustela putorius furo (domestic ferret)
Lineage: Eukaryota; Metazoa; Chordata; Mammalia; Carnivora; Mustelidae
Description: lncRNA (ENSMPUG00000032013.1)
Source: RNAcentral